Molecule: long non-coding RNA, 280 nt
Organism: Ipomoea nil (Japanese morning glory)
Lineage: Eukaryota; Viridiplantae; Streptophyta; Magnoliopsida; Solanales; Convolvulaceae
Exons: 2
Source: RefSeq, a predicted model, not a curated record
GUGAUCGUUGGUAUGGUUGGUCAUGGUGGUAGCUUCAUUCGGCUAAUUUUUGUUUGUUAUUUGUGCAUGUAGGAAAAUCUUAGUCUAUCAAAGGUUGUGUUAUGAAUAUUUCUCCAGGUGGGACAAAGUAUUGGAUGCUGAGUUAGGAAGAGGGUAUUAAUGUUAAGUAUUUUGCAGGGCUUUGGACUUGGUGAUUUAAUGUUACUUUUUGUUUCACCUUGGUCUGUAUGUUGUGAUUCACAAAUAUCUUUGGUUUAAUUUUCAAUUUGUGUGGUGCUUA